UACGGAGGGUGCAAGCGUUGUUCGGAAUCACUGGGCGUAAAGCGCGUGUAGGCGGUUCGCUAAGUCAGGUGUGAAAUCCCCCGGCUUAACCGGGGAAUUGCGCCUGAAACUGGCGGGCUUGAGUGUCGGAGAGGGAAGGGGAACUCCCGGUGUAGAGGUGAAAUUCGUAGAUAUCGGGAAGAACACCGGUGGCGAAGGCGCCUUCCUGGACGAUAACUGACGCUGAGACGCGAAAGCGUGGGGAGCAAACAGG
This 253-nucleotide ribosomal RNA is filed under the name uncultured bacterium. Its description in RNAcentral is "partial 16S ribosomal RNA". It matches the Rfam family "Bacterial small subunit ribosomal RNA", at positions 524 to 776 of the family's 1533-position model. The record is from RNAcentral.